This 223-nucleotide ribosomal RNA is filed under the name uncultured bacterium. RNAcentral's name for it is "partial 16S ribosomal RNA". It matches the Rfam family "Bacterial small subunit ribosomal RNA", at positions 100 to 334 of the family's 1533-position model. The record is from RNAcentral.
CGGUACGGGUGGAGUAACACGUGGAUCAUCUACCUCUUGGUGGGGAAUAACCCUGGGAAACCGGGGCUAAUACCGCAUAAGCCUGCAAAGGGAAAGCAGCAAUGCGCCGAGAGAGGAGUCCGCGGCCGAUUAGCUAGUUGGCGGGGUAAUGGCCCACCAAGGCGAAGAUCGGUAGCCGGCCUGAGAGGGCACACGGCCACACUGGCACUGAAACACGGGCCAG